Molecule: long non-coding RNA, 1169 nt
Organism: Oreochromis aureus
Lineage: Eukaryota; Metazoa; Chordata; Actinopteri; Cichliformes; Cichlidae
Source: Ensembl
GCUCAUCCACAUCUCAACUUCAGGUAUCCAUGUUCAUGUUUAAGGUUUUUCAUGUUUAGUUUUAGUUCGCCCAGUUUAGGUUAUUGUUUAGUUUCACCAAUGCCCUUUUGUUUGUACCUUUUUCGCUAGCCUCAAUAAACGGCUUGUUUUUUGUUAUAUCCACGCCACGUUUAGUUUUUGGUCUGCGCUUGAGUCCUCUUUUGCAAACACAUAGGCUGUGUCCGAAUUCAGGGGAAGGAUGCUUAAAAUGCCAUAUUUGGAUGCAAUGACGUCACAGCUACACGACGAGGACUGUCCGAAUUCAAAGAGCACUCAAAAUGUGGCGACAAAUCGUCCCUACUUUUCUGCGAAUUUGAGGCUUAGCUGUGUCCGAAUUCAGAGGAAGGAUGCUUCGAUGCCAUAUUUGGAGGCAAUGACGUCACGGCGACGCGACGAAGGGUGUCCGAAUUCAAAGAGUACUCAAAAUGUGGCGACAAAUGCGUCCUACUUUGCCCUGAAUUCUAAGGAUGGUCCGAUGUAUCCUUCGUGUCCUACUAUAUCCCAGGAUUCAUUGCGGGUCAUAGAGGAGAUUUGUUUCUGAUAACGAUGGUGGUCGCAGCAGGAGAGGAAAACACUUUCAAAUGACAAUUCUGGAGAAGAUGGGCCUGCAGGGGAAAGUCACCCCCUUGCAGGCCAGAAGACAUGAGAUAACUUUAAAGAAUACAAAGAUUGCAAGUAUCCAGGCUCAGGAGAGGGGGUCAGUGGGAAGCCCACUGCUGCUACUUGGCCCUGGUUUGCCCCCAUGGAUGAGGUGAUAGGACAGAUGCCUUCCAUUAAGCCUCCUGUCCUAAUUUCCUCUCUCUCUGAGGACACUCCAGGGCCAAGCACAGCAGUGGGUGACCAAAACGACAGCGAUGACGAAGCGAGUCAGCCACCUACGACAGGGAGAAAGAGGAAAAGAGACGGGGAUGAUGAGCUGCUAGACCUCAUCAGAGAGGACAUAAGGCAGCAAAGAGAGGCUGAGGAGAGGAGAGCAGGGAGAGGACGGACAGACUGUUUUCACUUCUAGAAAGAUUAGUUCCCAAAUGAGUUAUGUAUUGAGAAUUUUAUUUAUUUGAAUAUAUUUGUCACAUUGUUAUAUGUGUUGCAUUAGUUUAAAGGUUUUAUGUUAUUAAUAAAUUGAUUCAAAC